This 252-nucleotide ribosomal RNA is filed under the name uncultured bacterium. RNAcentral describes it as "partial 16S ribosomal RNA". It matches the Rfam family "Bacterial small subunit ribosomal RNA", at positions 524 to 776 of the family's 1533-position model. The record is from RNAcentral.
UACGGAGGAUGCGAGCGUUAUCCGGAUUUAUUGGGUUUAAAGGGUGCGUAGGCGGAGUGCCAAGUCAGCGGUAAAAAUUCGGGGCUCAACCCCGUCGUGCCGUUGAAACUGGCGCCCUUGAGUGGGCGAGAAGUAUGCGGAAUGCGUGGUGUAGCGGUGAAAUGCAUAGAUAUCACGCAGAACUCCGAUUGCGAAGGCAGCAUACCGGCGCCCUACUGACGCUGAGGCACGAAAGCGUGGGUAUCGAACAGG